Molecule: ribosomal RNA, 951 nt
Filed under: Mycolicibacterium frederiksbergense
Lineage: Bacteria; Bacillati; Actinomycetota; Actinomycetes; Mycobacteriales; Mycobacteriaceae
Description: bacterial SSU rRNA
Rfam family: Bacterial small subunit ribosomal RNA
Source: RNAcentral
CGAACGCUGGCGGCGUGCUUAACACAUGCAAGUCGAACGGAAAGGCCCUUCGGGGUACUCGAGUGGCGAACGGGUGAGUAACACGUGGGUGAUCUGCCCUGCACUUUGGGAUAAGCCUGGGAAACUGGGUCUAAUACCGAAUAUGACCAUGCACUUCCUGGUGUGUGGUGGAAAGCUUUUGCGGUGUGGGAUGGGCCCGCGGCCUAUCAGCUUGUUGGUGGGGUAAUGGCCUACCAAGGCGACGACGGGUAGCCGGCCUGAGAGGGUGACCGGCCACACUGGGACUGAGAUACGGCCCAGACUCCUACGGGAGGCAGCAGUGGGGAAUAUUGCACAAUGGGCGCAAGCCUGAUGCAGCGACGCCGCGUGAGGGAUGACGGCCUUCGGGUUGUAAACCUCUUUCAGCACAGACGAAGCGCAAGUGACGGUAUGUGCAGAAGAAGGACCGGCCAACUACGUGCCAGCAGCCGCGGUAAUACGUAGGGUCCGAGCGUUGUCCGGAAUUACUGGGCGUAAAGAGCUCGUAGGUGGUUUGUCGCGUUGUUCGUGAAAACUCACAGCUUAACUGUGGGCGUGCGGGCGAUACGGGCAGACUUGAGUACUGCAGGGGAGACUGGAAUUCCUGGUGUAGCGGUGGAAUGCGCAGAUAUCAGGAGGAACACCGGUGGCGAAGGCGGGUCUCUGGGCAGUAACUGACGCUGAGGAGCGAAAGCGUGGGGAGCGAACAGGAUUAGAUACCCUGGUAGUCCACGCCGUAAACGGUGGGUACUAGGUGUGGGUUUCCUUCCUUGGGAUCCGUGCCGUAGCUAACGCAUUAAGUACCCCGCCUGGGGAGUACGGCCGCAAGGCUAAAACUCAAAGAAAUUGACGGGGGCCCGCACAAGCGGCGGAGCAUGUGAUUAAUUCGAUGGGACGCGAAGAACAUUACCGGGUUGACAUGCACAGGACGCG